AUGAAGAUGGGGAGAGGAGCCGGCCGCGCUCUGCCGCUCGCCAUGGCGCUCCUCCUCGCGCUGCACCUGCACGCCACGCCGGCGUCGGCUGCCCCCAAGUCUUACCUGGUGAUCUUCGAUGGGCCGCCGCCCUCUCCGACUGGUCUGGCCGCUGCACUCGGCGGCACGGUCGACCUGAUCUACUCCUUCGGCGGCAUCAACGGGCUCGGGAUCCAGAUCGACAGCCUUCUCGUACCAGUCCUCAAACUGCUCAGCGGGGUGGUGGCCGUGAUCGAGGACAAGCUUUAUGCGGUCCAGACAACGCGCUCGUGGGAGUUCCUAGGGCUCCAAAAUUCUAACGGCGAGGCGCACGACGUGUGGAAGAACGUUGGCAAGUUCGGCGAGGGGGUCAUCAUUGCCAACGUCGACACAGGUGUAUCGCCGAUAUCUGCAAGCUUCAGGGACGACGGCACCUUGCCCAAACCGGCGAACUGGAUCGGUGGAUGCCAACCAGGCUACUCCGGCUGCAACAACAAGUUGAUCGGCGCGAGGGUUUUCAACGAGGGCAUCAAGGCAAUGAGCGAGCAGAACGGCGAGCAGGUGAACCAGACCGAGGUGAACUCGCCAUGGGACUACGAGGGGCACGGCACGCACACGCUGUCCACGGCCGGCGGCGGCUUUGUGCCCAAUGUCGGCGCCUUGGGCCACGGGACGGGCACGGCCAAGGGCGGCUCGCCGCGGGCGCAUGUGGCCUCGUACAAGGCGUGCUUCAAGGAAGGGUGCUCCGGCCUGGACAUCCUCAGGGCCAUACUCACGGCGGUGGAGGACGGCGUGCAUGUGCUCUCGCUCUCCGUCGGCUCCCCCGCCUCCGACUAUGCCACCGACACCAUUGCGAUAGGAACUGCCUACGCUGUCACCCAGUUGGUCGUCGUCGUCGCGGCGGGUGGCAACGAUGGCCCCGCGGCAGGCUCGAUCAGCAAUGUGGCUCCGUGGAUGCUCACCGUGGGCGCGAGCACCAUGGACAGAACCUUCCCCGCCGAUGUCGUCAUCGGUACCAAGACUAUCACGGGACAAAGUCUAUCAGGCAGCACCGACCAGCCAUGUGCGAUGAUCAGCGGGGAGAAGGCCAAUGCCGCAGGCCAAUCUGCCGCCAACUCGUCGUUGUGCGUGCCUGGCUCCCUGGACCCUGCCAAGGUGAGGGGGAAGAUAGUGGUGUGCACCAGAGGAUCCAACGGCCGAGUGGCCAAGGGGGAGGUGGUGAAGGACGCCGGCGGCGUCGGCAUGGUCCUCUGCAACGCCGCCGCCAGCGGGGACGACGUCAGCGCCGACCCGCACAUCAUCCCGGCGGCUCAUUGCUCCUACUCCCAGUGCAUAGACAUCUUCAACUACCUCCAGUCUGAUCCAUCACCGAUGGGUGCGAUCAAGACGAGGGACGCAGAGCUGGGUGUGAAGCCAUCGCCGGUGAUGGCAGCCUUCUCAUCCCGUGGGCCCAACACCAUCACCCCUCAGAUCCUCAAGCCCGACAUCAUCGCGCCAGGUGUGAACGUGAUCGCCGCGUACAGCCAGGAGGUCUCGCCGACGGGCCUGGCUUCCGACAGCCGCCGUGUCGCCUACAUGGUAGAGUCCGGCACCUCCAUGUCGUGUCCGCACGUGGCCGGCAUCGCCGGCCUGCUCAGGGCGAAAUACCCGAAAUGGAACCCAAACAUGGUCUAUUCCGCCAUCAUGACCACCGCCAACAGGGGAGGCAACGACGGUGUCGGGAUCCGGGACGAGACCGGCAAUGCCGCCACGCCCUUCAGCUAUGGCUCGGGCCACGUGAACCCGGUGAGGGCCCUGGACCCGGGCCUGGUGUACGACACCACGACGCAUGACUACCUCAACUUCAUCUGCUCCUUGAGGCCCACCAACACCCAGGGCCUCCUCCCGGUCUCGCUCCCGCUCCCGCUUGACAUACUCUGGACCCUGCUCAUCCGCGUGUUCCACGGCACCGACUCCAACCCGUUCCAAUGCAGCAAGGGCGCCAACCGCCCCGAGGACCUCAACUACCCGUCCAUCUCCGUGCCCUGCCUGCCCUCCUCCGGCAGCUUCACCGUGAAGCGUAGGGUGAGGAACGUGGGCGGCGGGGCGGCGUCGUACACCGUCAGCAUCACGCAGCCGGCCGGGGUGACGGUCAUUGUGGACCCCAGCACGGUGAGCUUUGACGGUAAGAGUCCAGACGAGGAGAAGCACUUCAAGGUGACGUUUCAAGUCUAUGACCCCGUCAAGGCUGCCAACUACGUGUUCGGCGGCAUCGAGUGGUCGGACGGGAAGCAUCACGUGUGGAGCCCCAUCGUGGCCACCACCAAGUGCGGCUAG
RNAcentral lists this ribosomal RNA (2334 nucleotides) under Triticum aestivum (bread wheat). Its description in RNAcentral is "partial small subunit ribosomal RNA". Lineage: Eukaryota; Viridiplantae; Streptophyta; Magnoliopsida; Poales; Poaceae. The record is from RNAcentral.